GGGUUAAGUCCCGCAACGAGCGCAACCCUUAUCUUAAUUGCCAGCAUUCAGUUGGGCACUUUAAAGAGACUGCCGGUGUUAACCGGAGGAAGUGGGAUGACGUCAAGUCCUCAUGGCCUUAUGCUUAGGGCUACACACGUGCUACAAUGGGUGGUACAAAGAGAAGCCAACUCGCGAGAGCGCGCCAAUCUCAAAAAGCCAUCCUCAGUUCGGAUUGGAGUCUGCAACUCGACUCCAUGAAGUUGGAAUCGCUAGUAAUCGCGGAUCAGCAUGCCGCGGUGAAUACGGUUCCCGGGCCUU
RNAcentral lists this ribosomal RNA (300 nucleotides) under uncultured Smithella sp. RNAcentral describes it as "bacterial SSU rRNA". It matches the Rfam family "Bacterial small subunit ribosomal RNA", at positions 1077 to 1382 of the family's 1533-position model. The record is from RNAcentral. Lineage: Bacteria; Pseudomonadati; Thermodesulfobacteriota; Syntrophia; Syntrophales; Smithellaceae.